GAGGAUGCUAAAAGUUUAAAGAAAGAAAUCAAGAUAGCAUUGGUUUCUGAUACUGGUUUAUUUUAUCAGGCCACAUUUUUACUAAAUUUAAUUUCUGGUUUGAACAUUGCAUUUUUAUUUGGAUGCUGUGAUAAAUAAGUAAUGACUUGAACAAGCCUUGCGUAUAGGGCCUGUCAAAUUUUUCAAUGUUCAAUUUCCAAACAUUAGGGGUGGUCAAAAGUUGUGACAGGCCUUGGGAAUUGUAAGGAUAUUUUGGUUAUUUUAAUACAAUUUAGAUGUGCUUGAUUCAAAUCUUCAUAGUGUUUUUCUAUGAAAUCCAAGUCAAGAGAAAGCACUAAAAAGAUAGAUUUGCCCUCUUUCCAUUGUUUUCUGUUAAGGAUCCACCCAAAUGACUGUAGAGAGAUGAAGGAACAAUAUGUGAAAUACGGGUGAUUAACAUUCUUCCCAACAAUGCAUGAAAUAUGACAAUACAUAGAAAACAGAAUUUGCGCUGUAAUUGUAACAAGACAUUCUGUACAUACUUGACCUGCAAGGGGCAUAUUCAACAGCUUUAGACCCAUCAUGAAGAUAACAAGUUCCCACAGGUUCCCUCUGCGCUUUCUGUUCAGUUCUCCAGUGAUAUAAAGGAGCACAUGCCUACAGAUGAAAUAUUUAGAAAGCUCUUUAAAAAGGGCAAUGGCCAUGGGAAAAAUCAAGGGAACAGAAUGGUUAUGAGCAACAAACAGCUAUGGAAAACAAAGAAAAACACCAAUGCACUGAUGAUAAGUCUAUUCAACUGAAUACUGUUUACCUACUGGAUGCACUUUUCAAAUAAGACACAUUAUGUGCCUUUCAAAACAACUGGGCUGAAAAUCCCCCCCCCCCCCAAAAAAGUACAUUAAAUUUGCAAUGAGCCCUACUAUGAGUUUGCUGAUAUUGCUAAACUGUGAAGUGGGAGGAGUUGAUGUGCUGUAUUUUACAAUUCAGUGGCUUCAUGCAUGUGUUAGAAUGGGCCAAGAAAAUUCAGGGGGAAGAGUUUGUAUAUCAAUUUUAUGCUGAUGUGUAAUGAAGCUGAGAGACUCUCCAUGACGUAUCACUUGCUCUUGAGCCCACAUAAGAGUUACAGUUGACAGAACUAAGAUUUCAAUACAAACCAAGCCAACCCUUUAUGCACGCUGACUGGAAAAUUCUGGGAGUUAAAAGUCCACAAUUCUUAAAACUGCUGAAUUGAGAAACACUGAUUUAGAAAUUUCAUUUUCUGUUUUCAAAGUCCUAAAUAUGAUUGCUACAGUUUCAGUGAACUAAUGCCAGAGUUUUUCUAUCUCCACUGACUGUCAAUCCUUCUCUGGACCCAAUUUAAAAUGCUGCUUUUACAUUUAUAACUCUAAUUGAUUUUGGCCCUGAUUAAUUGACAAAGCUAUAUUUAUCUACUGGAUGCUAAAGCCAUCUAUGCUCCAAUCAAAGAAGUGACCUAUCUCACAGACGCCCCAAACCAUUGAUGUGAUUUGAAUUCCAAAAGAUCAUCUACAGCAAAUUCUCUGUUGCCUAGAAGACAAAAUAUUUAGACGGAAUUCUGUGAACAUGACCUUGGAAUGUGACAACAUCCUAACUUUUUAAUGAAUAUCAAUCUCUCCGAAGUGAUAACAGAAGUACACACAAAUAUCACUAGUUUUUUCAUCACUUGACAAGUUUAUAACUUCAAAGCUGAGCUUGUGAACUGAUGCCACUGAAAGAUCCUGCAACUGAGAUAAUGUGAGGUUGUAAAGGUUGUAUCUGAAGAGACCAAUCCAGAAUGAUUCAUGCGCAAAGAGCAUAUAUUCUUCAAAAGCAAUAUUAGCCAUUAUCAUCCUGCUUUGCUUGCUUGCAAAGGCCUGAAUGCUGUUUCAUCACAGACUGAGAUACAUUUCUCUGAAACUUGAUAAGGGUUAGGGUCCAUUAGAAAAUGACUGACGUACAAAUAUUCUCCUCAUAAAUUUAAAAGAAUAUGACUAUGUAAUAUGUUCACUAUGUCAAGAAACUGAAAUGGAAUUUCUCCCUUCCUUCCUCCCUCCCUCCCUCCCCAUGGAAAGAAAAAUUGUGCAAAAAAAAAAAUAAAAUAAAAAAUCUAAUAUUUAAAUUACAAACAAGGAAAGUUAGGACUGGUACAUAAAAACAUAACUGUUUUUAAGACAAUACAGCAAAAUAUUAAUAAAGGAAUGCCAGGAUAGAAAAAUCAGGCCUUCUAACUACAGAGGGUUCACAUAUUUAAUUAGAAAAUAAGAGGCUGUAUGACGUAGAAUUUAAGGUAUUUAACUGUGAAUAGGUAAUCUACAUUUCAGUGCACUCUCAACCAUUGAGGAUUACUAAGUAAGUAUAAAUUUCACAGAUGAAUAAUUCUGUAGUUGUCAUGCAAGGGGUGUUGUUUAUUUCAAAUAUUUAUUAUUACAGUCAAAGACCAGUACAAUUAUAGCUACUCAAAGAGUAUCUAGUUAAAAUGUCUAGAAUAAAAUAAUAAAAUCUAUGUUGAAGUCAUAA
Pantherophis guttatus is the source of this 2493-nucleotide long non-coding RNA. RefSeq lists it as uncharacterized. Lineage: Eukaryota; Metazoa; Chordata; Lepidosauria; Squamata; Colubridae. The record is from RefSeq and is a predicted model, not a curated record.